AGCGAACGCUGGCGGCAGGCCUAACACAUGCAAGUCGAACGGGCACCUUCGGGUGUCAGUGGCAGACGGGUGAGUAACACGUGGGAACGUACCCUUCGGUUCGGAACAACCCGGGGAAACUCGGGCUAAUACCGGAUACGUCCGCAAGGAGAAAGAUUUAUCGCCGAAGGAUCGGCCCGCGUCUGAUUAGCUAGUUGGUGGGGUAAUGGCCCACCAAGGCGACGAUCAGUAGCUGGUCUGAGGGGANGAUCAGCCACACUGGGACUGAGACACGGCCCAGACUCCUACGGGAGGCAGCAGUGGGGAAUAUUGGACAAUGGGCGCAAGCCUGAUCCAGCCAUGCCGCGUGAGUGAUGAAGGCCCUAGGGUUGUAAAGCUCUUUUGUGCGGGAAGAUAAUGACGGUACCGCAAGAAUAAGCCCCGGCUAACUUCGUGCCAGCAGCCGCGGUAAU
RNAcentral lists this ribosomal RNA (452 nucleotides) under uncultured bacterium. Its description in RNAcentral is "bacterial SSU rRNA". It matches the Rfam family "Bacterial small subunit ribosomal RNA", at positions 29 to 524 of the family's 1533-position model. The record is from RNAcentral.